GGCCAGACUCCUACGGGAGGCAGCAGUGGGGAAUAUUGCACAAUGGGGGAAACCCUGAUGCAGCGACGCCGCGUGAGUGAAGAAGUAUUUCGGUACGUAAAGCUCUAUCAGCAGGGAAGAAAAUGACGGUACCUGACCAAGAAGCCCCGGCUAACUACGUGCCAGCAGCCGCGGUAAUACGUAGGGGGCAAGCGUUAUCCGGAUUUACUGGGUGUAAAGGGAGCGUAGACGGCAGCGCAAGUCUGGAGUGAAAUGCCGGGGCCCAACCCCGGAACUGCUCUUGGAACUGCGUGGCUGGAGUGCAGGAGGGGCAGGCGGAAUUCCUGGUGUAGCGGUGAAAUGCGUAGAUAUCAGGAGGAACACCGGUGGCGAAGGCGGCCUGCUGGACUGCAACUGACGUUGAGGCCCGAAAGCGUGGGGAGCAAACAGGAUUAGAUACCCCCGUA
RNAcentral lists this ribosomal RNA (446 nucleotides) under uncultured bacterium. RNAcentral's name for it is "bacterial SSU rRNA". It matches the Rfam family "Bacterial small subunit ribosomal RNA", at positions 329 to 792 of the family's 1533-position model. The record is from RNAcentral.